This 7254-nucleotide long non-coding RNA is filed under the name Sus scrofa (pig). Its description in RNAcentral is "lncRNA (ENSSSCG00000056821.1)". The record is from RNAcentral. Lineage: Eukaryota; Metazoa; Chordata; Mammalia; Artiodactyla; Suidae.
GGCUCCAAUUCAUUAGAUAAAUCUACACCUAUAAAUCAAGAUAAGCUCUUUCGUAUUUAGAGCUUCUGGUGAGGGACAAAGUCCUUAAGCUUCUUAGAAGCUGUAUUGCUUGAUUGAGGGGAGUUAUGAGACAUAAGGGUCUUCAGAGGGCCCUUUGUUCUGACUAAAUGGUAUUCUGAGGCAGCGCCAUUGAUCCUUCUGAAAUCUUAAUCAGAGAUUUUAUAGCCACAUCCUCAGCUCCAUCAUUAGACUUGGCAGAGCCCUUGGUUUGAUAUUUGUACAGAAACUAUUUCUUCAUUUUAGGAUCUUUCACCAUCUGGAGAGGCUAGGAAUUUUCAAAGCCAAAACACUAGCUUCUUUUGGUUUGGCAGACCUUUCAUAAGUUGAUGUCUUUCCUCUCACAUGUUACUAUAAGUAAAAGCAAACCAAGUAGCCCCUUCAACAUUCCAUGAACAAAUUACUUUAACUUGUUCACUCCAUUCUUUAAGUCAUUUUCUACUUCCUGUGUUAUCGCAGGUGACAGUGUCACUAAUCUCCCUAAUACUACUUAACUACGAUCUUCCUUUCAAUUUCUAAUAGAUAGCUCUCACUUUCCUUUGAGCCUUUUUGACAGCCCCAAGCUCUACAGCAAUCUGUUCAAGGUACACAAGCUUUCAUCAACACUCUCCUCAAAGUCUGUUUAGCUUCUGGAACUAAGGCUUAGUUCCAAAGCCACUUCACAUUUUUCAGUAAUUGUUAUGACAAUACCUUACUUCCAGGUACUAAAAUUUGUUUUAGUAAACAGAUUUAGUAAACAGAUUUUAGUAAACAGAUUUUAGUUUGCUAAACUAAACAGAUUUUAGUACCUAGAAACUAAAACUACUUAGUUUCCACAUAACAUGUUAACACCCCCAAACUUAAAACAAUAAACCCUUAUUAUCUCAUAGUUUCUAUGAGUUAUAAAUCCAGGAGUGGCAUUUGCUGAGUGGUUCUUACUCAUGGUAUCAAAUGAAGUUGAGUCAAGCAAAGGAGGAAGGCACAGUGUUUAAUGCCCUAAUUGACAUCAUGUGCUUUCAUUUCUGUUGCAUGCAUAGGAAGCAAGUUAUUAAGUCCAGCCCCCUACUCAAGAGGAAAGGUAUUAAGCCCUGCUUUGAAGUAGAAUACAUUAAAAAAUGCUAGUCAUAUUUUCAAACUACCAGAAGCUGGAAACUCUUUUAUAAGUUAUAUUGAAACCAUAUUGCACCCCUAGGGAGAUGUGGCAUAGGAAAAUGAUGACUACAUUUACAUAAUCAGAAUUUGCCAAGGCUUUCAGCUACCAUUAAACUCCAUAUAGCUACAUCUAAUGAACAAAUCUCAGUCCUCCUAUUACUUAACCUUUCAGUGACCUUGGGCAUAGUUGAUACCUCUCUUUAUUCCUUGAAACAAUUUCUUCUAUUGCCUUCCAGGACAUCACACCCUCAUGCUUUUCCUCCUGCCUCUAACCAGCUCCUUGCUGUCAAUCUCAUGUACUACUUCCUCUUCAUCUCUCCCACCUCAUGCUAUUGGUGUCCGAGAGCUCACACCUUGAGUCUCUUUUUUCUCUACUCCAUCCUUUGCAGAUAUCAUGCAACCCCAAGUCUUUAAAUACAAUGUGCACUUAUAACUGCUCAGACCCCUCCUGUAACUCUUCUUCAAUUCGACUCAUACCCAACCUCAUCUGCAUUCAGUGUCUAACAAGACUCAUCUACUUAACUCACCCUAACCUGAGCAUUUGAUCGUUUCCUCAGACCUACUCUUCUUAUAAUCGUCCUCAUUUCAGCUCAUGGCAACGCCAUCCUUCUAGUCACUCAGAAUUCAUUCUCAUUCUCAUUUUUAUUCUCUCUCCCUCUCCCUCACUCAUUUCCUUCCUCCUCCUUCCCACAUUCUUAAUCUAUUGGCAAAAUGUGUUAGGUCUACCUAUAAAAUACAUUGAAAAUUUGAACUGUUACAAGCUCCACAACUACCACUGUGGUCCAAGCCCAGCCUUUGCUGUCUCCUGGAUUGUUGCAAUAGCUGUUUAACUUCCCAGGGGUGGUUCUUUCCACUCCUGCACCCUGGAGUCUAUUCUCAUACCUCAUCCAGAGUAAUCCUAUUAAAAGUAAACCAGUUCAUACCAUUCUGUGAGUUUAGCUCUCCAGUGACUCCUUAUCUCACUCUCAUAAAAGCCAGACUCCCUAAAAUGACCCACCUGAGCCUAAAAGACCUGGAUUUUGUCACUAAUCUGAUGUCGUCUCCUCAAAUUCUCCUUUUUGUCAUCCUGCUCCAGCCACUGCUGUAUCUCGCUCAAACAUCCCAUGUGUGAUAUUACCUCAGGGCAUGACCUUCCUGCCUCUGUGCUCUGUCCUUAGAUUUCCAUAUGACUUGCCCCAUCACUUCCUUCAGAUCUUACAUAUCAUUUCUAAGUGAGACUUGGCCUAACUAUUUUAUUCAAAGUUGUUCCCCCAAGUUGUCCAAAAUCAUCUUUUCUGCUUUGUUUUCUUCACAGCACGAAUCAUCUAACAAUUUGUUUCACUCAUUUUUAUGGAAUUUAAAAUCUAAGGGAAGUGUUUUUUAAUUGAUUUAUUCACUGUAUUGAUAGUACCUAGGAAUACUUUUGGCAAAUAGACAUCAUUGAAUGUUUUAUUUUUUUGAACGAAUAAAUGAAUUAUUCAUUCAUCUCUUCAUCCUUAUCUACAUGGAAUUCUCUUCUUUCUCAACCUCAGACUGUCUAAAUCCUGAAUUAACUCCACACUAAGCCAAUCAUGACUUGUCUCUUCCAGGACCUUUCCUCACUAAUUGUCAUGUAUUUUGACCCUCUUCAUUUUGACUUUCCUUGGUCCCCAGCCCACCUCACACUAUUGUAGAGUUGCUUGUAUGUGCAAUCUUUCUCCAUCUUGCUCAUAUAUUUGUGUCAUAUUUGUCUAAAUAGAUCCUUGAGAAGCCAUAUUUAUUCCUCUUUUUGAGUCUUUUUUUUUGUCCCUUUGUAAUUAUGCAACAUGCACUUUAUAAAUCCCUGCUUUAUAAACAACUGCUAAUCCACUGAAAUGACCUCCAUAACCCUGCACAGCUGAGGAAAGAUGCUAUUUCAGGACAACACAAUGUUUUUGUAAAAUGCAUACAAUCAUUUUCAAUUUAUAUAGUAAUAAGUUCCAGGUAAAACCAGCUGAGCUACACAAGCAACUGUUCUAAUACUCACACACUUAUUACAUUCUCUUUAGGAAAUAGAAUCCACUUUUCUACAUGGACUGGAAAUCCUUAGAUGUUAAAAAAAAAAAAAAAGUUAAAAAGCUCCACUGAGAUUUAGCUUCUUGCCAUAAUGCUCUAAAUUAUUUCAGUGUUGCGUAAGGCAUUAUAAAACACUAUAAUUUAUAUGCUCCUGAGCAAGUGCCUCUUAAAAUGUUCACCAAUUAGUUCAUUUCAGAACCUGCUUCUGAUAUCCCUGAAGGUAAGAAAAACCCCUUCAUAUGCAACCUGAGUAUAAGACAAUAUCAAAAUUAGUUGUGUUAGCUAAAUAUUAUCUUCAGAGCAGCUCUGAAUUUCUGCUGUUUUGAAAUGUUAAGUUCAUCAAAAAAUUAUAUGAAGAAUUAUGCACAUAGAUUUUUCCUUCUGUGAAUUCUACAUAAUCCUCUGCUUUUUUCUAAAUUAGUCUUCUUAUAAUAACAUGACUCAGAUUUUGCUUAGGAACAAGAUAUAUUGAAACUGUCUCAAUCAGCCCAUCUUCAUCUCUCUCACCUUACUUUUGAUACUAGACAUGCCUGCUUUGGUUGUGAUCAGUCUUCUAAGAUUAAUGUUCUCCUACGCAUGCAAAGUCUAAAUACUGAAUUAGGAAUAUUAGAGCUUGUGACUAAUUCUUCUUGGAGUAAGAAAGUUAGUAUUUCAAGAGGAAAACAAAAGGUUUCUUGACUAUAUUCCCAUGCUGAAUUAGGACUAUCAUUUAAUAGCAUCUGAUUCUGCCUCAGAGUUCAUUAAAGUCUUUUAUUGAGUUUGUAAAUACAUUCAACUGGAUACUUCUUUUUUCUCAUAAGGAAAAUUUGUUAUUCUAUUCCUUUAUGUUGAAACCUUUGUUAAUUUAGUGUUUUAAAUAAUUUUGGAGAAUAUAUGAAACAACAUGAAAAAUAUUGAACCCAUAUAUCACUUUCAUUUUACUCUAACUUCCUGAUACUGCCUCAUGCAUAGAAUUGGAAUCUGUUGCUCCUGUCUUUAUCAGCCAUUACUAAAGCAUCAUCUUAAAGGCCCAUUGCUAAGACAGGGGUUUACCACAUGGAGCGACAAACUAUAUAUCAUGUAUAUGAAUAUGAGCUCAGAGCUAAACAGAAUAUAGGGAUUAUCUAAUAUAGGGUUUAUGAUGUUUAUUUCACGUAGUAAACCAGAGAAACACAUUGACCACCAACAGAAAUUCACUGUAGUAGUUUCCUAUUGUUGGUGUUACAAAUUACCACAAACUUGGUGACAAAAUAGCACAAGCCUAUUACAGUCCAUAUGCCAGAGUCUGAAAUGAGUCUCACAGAACAAAAAUCAAGGUGUUGACAGUGUUCCAAUCCACCUGGAGAGUGUCUUUCUAGCUUCUAGAGCUGCCCACCUUGCAUUCCUUGGCUUCUAGUAAUCAUAUCCCUUGGACCUCCCCUUCUCUGACUUGGACACUCUUGCCUCCCUCACAUAAGGACCUUGUGUUAACUUGGACCCACUAAAAAAUCUUACUUUAAUCGUAUCUGCAAAGUCCCAUUUUCAAAUAAGGUAAUAUUUCCACAAGUUUCAGAAGUUAGGAUUUAGACUUGUUUUUAAGGAGACCAUUAUUCUGUCCACUACACAUAAUAUUCUCAAGUAAGAGAGGGAGAGCAUAGUAGCUCAUGUUGCUUGCAAAACAAGCAGUAUUACAAAAUAAUUAAGGAGUCCCUGUCGUGGCUGAGAGGAAACAAAUCUGACUUGUAUCCAUGAAGAUGCAGGUUCGAUCCCUGGCCUCACUCAGUGGAUUAAGGAUCUGGUAUUGCUGUGAGCUGUGGUGUAGUUUACAGACACGGUGUGGAUCUGGUGUUGCCGAGGCUAUGGCGUAGGCUGGAAGCUGUAGCUCUGAUUGGACCCCCAGCCUGGGAAUCUCCAUGUGCCACGGGUGGAGCCCUGGGAAGGAAAAAAAAAAAAAAAAGUUUAAGAAGUGGACUCUGGUGCCAGAUGGCCUGACUUCAAAUCCCAUUCUUGCCCCUCAGUAACUAUGAAAUCUUAAGCAAAGUAUUGAAACUCUGCUUUGUACUCUAUAAAACCAGAAUUGACAAUAUUACCUCCUACUGUUGUUUUAAAAACUAGAUGAAUUUACACAUGUAAAUGCACUUAGAACAAUUCCAACAUAUAUAUGUCCAAUAAACAUUUACUUAUAUGCCCUCAUGGUCUGAAAGAAUUCAUCCAAUCAAAAUUUUUUUUUACAGAUGAAGAAAUUAAGUGCCAAAAACUUAAAGGAUUUACACAAAAUAAUACAGUGGCAUUAGAUUAUAAAACUUGUCACAUUAAGUUUUUAUCUUGUGUUGUUGAACCAGUAUUUGUUAAAUCCAUGUUUUCAGUGGUGUCAGUAUUUUAAAAGUACCUAUUUUCUUAUUACUAAUAAUUCCUAAUUAACCUAGUGAUAUUAUCAAUAACAUAUUUCUCUUUGCUUUAAUGGAAAUCCUAUGAACAUAUUUCUUUCUGAAUCUUCUAUAGCUUUAUAGGGUUAUAUUACAUCCUGUGAAGGAUAAGCUAUUUUGACAAAGCUAUUUUGACAAACUCUCAAGAAUUUUAGAACACCCCCCCCCCAGGCCUAGCAUUUCAUAUGAUGAACUUGUCUUUGACUUCUUGUAUCUAGAUAAUAGUGCAUAUUGCCAUUAUUUAGAUGGUUUUAAACCUCUACUCAAAAUGUUCCUUACAUGUUCUUAUAGAUUUGAUGUUGUCCAUUUGUUAAUUCUGCAGCACAAUCAACAAGCUGUUCCAUACAUCUAAUUGACCAUUAGAAUAUCCAAAUUAAAUGACCAUUCAGGAUGAUAAAUUUUGAUUGUUUUCAUUAUGUAGAAGUUCUCAUUGGUUCUUAAUUUUAAAAUACGUUUGAGAGUCCUUCCAAUGUAGGAUUAGGGUUCUGAGAGUAAGUGUUUUAUCUGUUAUACUUAUGAUCCUUUCACCCCUAUCAAGGUUGAAAUGCAUUUUUUAAAAAUCUCUUUUUACUGAUGUGUUAAGCAUGAAGUACAAAGAGAAAACUAUUUUAUAGGGAGGAAUACUAAGUCAAGGCUGUGUUUUAUCUUUCUGAUGAAAUAGAAUUUCCUACUAAAAGUUAAAGUCUCUCUUUUCCUCUCUUAACUAACAAAUUGAAUAGUCAUGCAAUUUAAGAGCUGGAAAGUAACAUAGAGAUUAUUUGGUCAAAAGCCCUCAUUUUGUAGAUGACGAAGGAUACAAGGGAUGGAAAUAAAAUGGAGCGAGUUAAUCUUAGGCAUCUGAAAAAAAUUCAAUGACAGAACUUUUUUUUCUUUUGGCUCUAGGCCCAAAACACUUCAUUCGAUUGUGAAUAAAAUACAUUUUCAUUCACUGAGAGCUCUUUCUUCUCAUUGUUCUGUACUUCCGGAGGAGGCAAAUAAGUGAUAAACAGGCCUCGAUGGUACUGUAGCAUUUUGCAAAAUAUUUUUUUGCUGUUGUUUUGGUGUCAGCUAACGAUGGCCUUGUGCUCUUAACAUAGUUUCAAUGACUCUUCUAGAAGAAAUGUUUAUGUAUGUCUAAACUACUGUAUUAAUUCAGUUGUCAAGCGUCAACUUUGCAUUCUUUUCCUUUUAAUGUCAUUCUUUUUUUUUCUGAAAUCAUCUAUGAAAGAAAAUAUAUAAGCCCUUUCUAGAUUCUACAACCAGUUUUUUUGUUUGUUUGUUUGGGUUUUUUGUUUCAUUUUGUUUUUUCCCCAUGACUGACCUUGAUUAGGUCCUUAAACACUAUGCCUGACUUUCCUCAUCUGUAAAAUGAAAGCAGUAACACAUACAAAUUGGGGUCAUUAUAAAAUGAAGGUAGGCUUCAUAUUAAUUAUUAGCUGUCAUUCCUAAUCAUUCUAAUUGCCAAUUAGAUAUAUUUAUUGUGGGGUGGCUCUAGUAAACCUGCUGCCAGGUCCCCCAUCCAGGUUUCCUCCCUUACUGAUCACCUGUUUUUUCUUUUGGGUCUUUGCACUCUUAUCAGGGAGGCUUUCCUGGGCAUCCUUUAUAAAUGUGUAACUCCCAUCCCCAGAAAAUGUAUCUACCUCCCUGAUUUUUUUCCAUUGUACUUAUUACCACCUGGCAUUUGAUGUAU